This 71-nucleotide transfer RNA is filed under the name Histeromerus mystacinus. RNAcentral describes it as "tRNA-Lys". Lineage: Eukaryota; Metazoa; Arthropoda; Insecta; Hymenoptera; Braconidae. RNAcentral also lists the same sequence under 1 other name. The record is from RNAcentral.
CAUUAAGUAUCUUAAAGGUAAGAAUUGAUUUUUUAAUUCAAAAAUAAUAAAUUAACAUUUAUUCUUAAUGA